This 417-nucleotide unclassified non-coding RNA is filed under the name uncultured Sebacina. RNAcentral's name for it is "sequence contains ITS2". The stretch from base 1 to 154 matches the Rfam family "5.8S ribosomal RNA". The record is from RNAcentral. Lineage: Eukaryota; Fungi; Basidiomycota; Agaricomycetes; Sebacinales; Sebacinaceae.
AACUUUUAACAACGGAUCUCUUGGCUCUCGCAUCGAUGAAGAACGCAGCGAAAUGCGAUAAGUAAUGUGAAUUGCAGAAUUCAGUGAAUCAUCGGAUCUUUGAACGCACCUUGCACCCUUUGGCAUUCCGAAGGGUAUGCUCGUUUGAGUGUCAUUGUACUCCCACACUCCCGAUGCUUUUGGAUUGGGAGUGGUGGACUUGGGUGUUGCUGCUUUACUGUGGCUCACCUCAAAUGGAGUAGUGCAACUCUUGGUUGGACAUAGUACGGCGUGAUAAGUGUCUUCGCCGGCGCCUCAUUAGAGGGUGGCCGAUCGGGAGCUCUGUGCUUCAAACCGUCUUCGGACAACAUCUGACAACUUGACCUCAAAUCGAGUAGGACUACCCGCUGAACUUAAGCAUAUCAAUAAGCGGAGGCU